UUUUUUUUUUUUUUUUUUUUUUAGCAGAACUCACUUCUUGGUACCAAUUUCUGCCUUAGUCUUUUUAUGCUACUAUAACAGAAUACCAUAGGUUAGGGUGGCUUAUAAACAACAGAAGUUUAUUUCUCACAGUCCUGGAGCUGGGAAAUCCAAGGUCAAGGUGCUGGCAGAUUUUGUGUCUGGUGAAGACCUGCUUCUGAGUCAUAGAUGACCAUCUUUUCACUGUGUCCUUAUGUGGCAUGAGGGUCAGGGGAGCUCUUCAGAGUCUCUUUUAUAAAUACACUAAUCAUCUCCCAAAGGCUCCACCUCCAAAUACCUUCACAAUAGGGAUUCGAUUUCAACAUGAAUUUUGGUAGGACACAAACACUGUCUGUCACUUUGGGGAUGAGAGAAGAGAAGCAAAGAAACAUCAGAAUCACCUGGACAGUUUGUCCAAACCACAUGUACUCCUUACCAUCCUAGAUUAACUCACUCCCUCCUUUUGGAACCACUGUCAAUGCUCAGCCUUGAAGAAAAGUGUUAAGGAAGCCUAUAUCAGUAGGUUGCUUUUGGUAGCAAAUGACAGAAAAUGUAAAUCAAAAUGGCUUAAAUAACGAAGGGAUUUAUAACCCUUGCAAGCCAAACAUUUACUGAGUAAGUUGGGUUUUUGGAGAUUCUUGAUCCAAAAUACAUCAGCAAGAAUUUUUGUCUCUCUGCUCUGCCUUUUGCAGCCAUUCAACCUAAAGAUGCAUCCCAUUGGAGUCUCAGGAUGGCUAGAGGCAACACCUAAGUUUCCUUUUUCUUCCUUCACUUCUAGAAAGAGAAAGAGAACUUGCUGCUUUCUCAGAAACAGCUCUAAUAUUCACUCUGAUUGGCCUAGAACAUGAUGCGUGCCUACCUCUGAACCAAUCAUUGUAUAGAGAUAUGGAGUGCGUUUAUUGGCUUAGUUUUUCUUAACUGCUCCACCCCUGAGAAAGUGAUGGCAGUUGGAAGGGAAAGUUGGAAGGUGGGAGAAGGAAUUGAUAUUGGCAGUGUAGCCAACUAAGGCUGUGGGAUGGUCUAUAAAGUUAAGUGCAAAUCAGUAAUAAAAAAUCAUGAGACUCAUUUCACCCAUUCUUAGCACCAGUCCUGUUAAUUUCUAAUAGGGCUUCUCAACUUUGGCACUAUGGACACUGGGCUAGGUUUUGCCCUUGCUCUGUGGGCUGUCCCAUGCAUUGUAGGAUGCCUAGCAGCAUCCCUGGCUUCUACCCACAAGAUGCCAGUAGUAACCUCAACCAUCACCACUCCCUCACAGAUGUGGCAACUAAAAAUGUCUCCAGACAUUGCCAAAUGUCCUCUAAGGGACAAAAUUUCUCUCUCCAAACCACUGUUUUAUAGUUGAAGCUCCUAGAUAAAAAUCUCUAUCAUAGAAGUAGAGAUCCAUUUUCAUCAAUUUCUCCAACGUUUAAGAAAAUAAUUUAAACUGUAGCGUGAAGAAAUGUUAGAUGUAAAGCAGAAUUUCCUAUCAUCACACAUGUGCAUACAUAUUAAAUUUAUCCAUAUAUUACUAUAUUAUUUACUGCAAUUCUUUUUAAAAAUGUUCUCACAUUUGAUGUGAAGCCUAAGAUGAAAGGUGUUACUAGAUCACUUUUCAGAAUUCCUCCUAAGCAUCAGUUGGUAAGAUUUCUCAGCCUCUUUCAGAGGAGAAGCAUUGCACUGAAUAUUUGUAAAUAUUAUUGAUAUUUGUAAAUAUUAUGAGUGUGGGUGCUUCUGGUACAUAGAUCACACUUUGAGUAGCAAAAGGCUAUAAUUUGGCAGAAUGCAGGAGGGGAAGUUUGAGCUCUGCUGUGCUCAACUUAGAUCCAUGUGUCUUCUCAUUCUGGAACCCACCUAAAGAGCAGAUACUGUCUGGAACUGGUCUCAUGGUGGAAGGCAAAAGGUCAAAGAGGGAAACAAAGCCAUAUCAAAGAUAUAAUGGGGAGUUCCUGUUGUGGCUCUGUGGAAGUGAAUCUGACUAGUAUCCAUGAGGACACAGGCUUGAUCCCUGGCCUCACUCAUUUGGUCAUGGAUUCAGCUUUGCCCUGAGCUGUGGUGUAGGUUGUAGAUGCAGCUCGGAUCCUGUGUUGCUGUGGCUGUGGUAUAGGCCAGCGCUACAGCUCUGAUUCGACCCCUAGCCUGGGAACCUCCGUAUGCCAUGGAUGCGGCCCUAAAAAGACAAAAAUUUUUUAAAAUGAAAAUACAAACACUGUGUGUGCGAUGAUCGCCCAUCAUGUUUAAAAUCAGAAAUCUUUAAAGUGUCUUUAAAGCAAGUUACAUGACCCAGCCCAAAGUCAUUGGUGUAGGGGAAUUCCUACAUGUUAGAAAACACAUAGUGGUAAGUGUUGCAGAGCAUGCACAGGUGGCCCAAAGUACUCUCUACGUGGGAGAGUCAAGGAAGGCCUCAGAGAGAAUAUGAUGGUUAAACCAGAUUUUGAAGGAUAAGUAAAAGUUCUUAGCAAACUGGGAAUGGAGACCAAGGCGGGAGAGAGGGCACUGAAGCCAAGGGAAGAACAUAAAGCAGAGAGCUACGUGUUCUUCAAGAGGAUCUCUAUAAUCACAGGGGAAGAUGUUCAACAUCAUUAAUCAUACAGGAAAUGCAAAUCAAAACCACAAUGAGAUUUUACUUUAUCCCCACUAGGCUGUCUCUAAUCAAAAAGAACAGAGAAUAAGAAGAGCUAGUAAGAUUAUGGAGAAAUUGGAACCUUUUCACACUGUUGGUGGGAAUGUAAGAUGGUGUAGCUACUUUGGAAAACAGCCUGCUCCUUCCUCACAAGGUUAAACAUGGAGUUACCUUAUGAUCCAGGAAUUGCACUGCAACGUAAAUACAGGCAUACCUUGCUUUAUCGUGCUUCACAGACAGUGCAUUUUUUCCAAAUUUAAGGUUUGUGGCAAUCCUAUGUUGUCAGAUGAUGGUUAGCAUUUUUAGCAAUAAAGUAUUUUUAAAUUAAGGUGUGUAUGUUGUUUUUUGGAUGUAAUGUUAUUGUGCACUUAUUACAGUAUAGCAUAGUGUAGACAUAACUUUUAUGUGCACUGGGAAACCAAAAAAAUUCACGUGACUUGCUUUAUUGUGAUAUUCGAUUUAUUGUGUUGGUCCUGAACCCAACCCGCAAUAUCUUCAAGGCAUGCCUAUAUAUACUCAGGACAACUGAAGGCAUACAUUUACACAAAUACUUGCACAUGAAUGAUUCAUAGUUGUACUACUCAUGAUAGCCAAAAAGUGGAAACAACCCAAAUGGCCAUCAACUGAUGAAUGAAUAAAUACAAUGCGGUAUAUCCAUACAAUGGAAUAUUAUUUGUCAAUAACAAGAAAUCAAAUACUAAUACAUGCUAUAUCAUUAUGCAAAUGAAAGAAGCCAGACACAAAAGGUAAAUAUAUGAUUCCAUUUAUAUGAAAUGUCCAAAAUAGGCAAAAUUAUAGAAAUAGAAAGUAUAUUGGUGGCUGCCUAGGACUGAGAAGGGAUUGGAGAGAAAUGGGGAGUGACGGCUAAUGGGUAAGGGGUUUCUCUUGUGGCUGAUGAAAAUGUUCUAAAUGGAAUUGUGGCAGUGGUUGCACAACUUUGUAGAUAUACCAAAACCAUUAAAUUGUUUACUUUUGUGGGUGAAUUGUACAGUAUGUGAAUUAUAUCUCAGUAAAACUAUUAGCAAAAAAAUGUUCCACAUGGUACACAUGGUAAGGCAUGGAGGCAUAGGAACAUAGUGUAUUUAAGAACCUAAGCAGGAGUUCCCUUGUGGCACGGUGGUUUAAGGAUCCAGUGUUAUCACUGCAGUGGUUCAGAUUCCUGCUGAGGUGAGGGUUUGCUCCCUGGUCCCUGAACUUCUACAUGCCACAAGCGUGGCAAAAAACAAAAAGCAAAAAACAAACAAAAAUCAAGAACCUAAAAGCAGAUUGACGUAACUAUUAUGGAAUGGGAAUGGACAUGUCUAGGAAGGCAGGUAAGGAUUAGAUCAUGGAGGAUCUGAGGGCAGCUCACAGCAAGAAGAACAUUUUAGGAAUAUUAAUUCAUAUAUGGAGGCUAGGUCUGAAGGAAAGGGAUGCAAAGAGGAUAGGUAGUUGAGACUACUGAAGUAGAUCCAAUAUUAGUUCAUGAGGGCUGAGCCAAAAUGAUGGAAAGAUCUUUCUUACACAUGUUUGUGUCCCUAACAACUUAACAUGCCUGACACAAAACAGUGCCCAAUACUGUUUAGUGAAUGAAUGAAUGAAUGAAGUGGAUGAUUACAUUUUGCAUUUUCAUAGUUUCUGUUAUUAGUUAGAAAAUUUGGGGACACAACAAGGGAUUUUGGGGAGUGAGCUCAGGACUGUAACAUUUAGAGCAAGGAUACUUUUUAUGAGGGGAAUGGCUAUUUCAGGAAGAGAGAAAAAAUGAUGGUAGGUCCAAAGGUAUACUUUAUCCCUCUGUUUUGCCUAAGGCCAGCCUACUGUGUGCCUGGGGAUUUUUUUUUUUAAUGAAGAAAUAUAAGAGGCUGGUAAACUCCUUCUGACUUUGGUGCCUUCAGGCUUUUGUACCCAUUAGCCAAGCAGACAUAAUCUACUCCCACACAUAAGACAUAACCUAGUAUACUUUACAGUAUGUAUGGACCAGAUAAAUAUUUUAUUUUAUUUUAUUGUCUUUUUUUUUUUUUUUGCCUUUUCUAGGGCCGCUCCCGUGGCAUAUGGAGGUUCCCCGGCCAGGGGUCUAAUCGGAGCUGUAGACGCCGGCCUACGCCAGAGCCACAGCAAUGCGGGAUCAGAGCCACAUCUGCGACCUACACCACAGCUCAUGGCAACGCCGGAUCCUUAACCCACUGAGCAAGGCCAGGGAUCGAACCCACAGCCUCAUGGUCCCUAGUUGGAUUCGUUAACCACUGAGCCACGACGGGAACUCCCAGAUAAAUAUUUUACUGAGGCUCAGUGACUAAGAUUCAACCAUCAGAAACCACUUAGAUAAUUUUGUUUUUCAAUCCAUUUCCUCCUGGUCAGCUAUGGCCACCCUACUCCACUGUGAUACAUCCUUAGAUGAUAAAACUGGAAGAUCUAACUUCUAUGUACUAUAGCUUAGAGUUAAAGGUUGUGACCUAAUUUCUAAGCAGAGCAGAAGAAUCCUCUCUGGAGAGGGAUUACACACAAGGAGAUGAAGUGUUUAUGUUUGUAAUAACGGGAUGCCGCCACAGAAGACUAUGCUCUGUGUUAAUGAUUGAAGAACAAUUUUAUUUGUAGAUUUGCAGGGUGUAGGCGUUGGGGAGGGUUGCACAUUUGCCUCAUUCUGAGCCAUCUUCAACCUAUUCUCUAUGACAAGGAGGCUUCCUCUGGACUUCCUUUCCCUGCCUCAGUAAGACGAGCUUGGGUAUGAGUAAUUGAAAACUCUGUGCUGAGGGGGAGGGAGUGGGAUGGACUAGGAAUCUGGGGUUAAUAGAUGCAAAGUAUUGCAUUUGGAGUGGAUAAGCAAUGAGAUCCUGCUGUAUAGCACUGGGAACUAUAUCUAGUCACUUGUGAUGGAACAUGAUGGAGGAUAAUGUGAGAAAAAGAAUAUAUAUACGACUGGGUCAUUUUGCUGUGAAGUAGAAAAUUGACAGGACACUGUAAACCAGCUAUAAUAGAAACAAUAAAAAUCAUUACAAAAAUAAAAAAAUCAAGCUAAAAAAAGAAAUAAAAAA
This 5628-nucleotide long non-coding RNA is filed under the name Sus scrofa (pig). RNAcentral describes it as "lncRNA (ENSSSCG00025013024.1)". The record is from RNAcentral. Lineage: Eukaryota; Metazoa; Chordata; Mammalia; Artiodactyla; Suidae.